GCGGGGGUGCCCGAGCUGGUCAAAGGGGGCGGACUUAAGACUAGCGUUAAGUGAUCCGCUGGCGUAGGCCUGCGUGGGUUCAAGUCCCACCCCCCGCA
Molecule: transfer RNA, 98 nt
Filed under: Stygiolobus caldivivus
Lineage: Archaea; Thermoproteati; Thermoproteota; Thermoprotei; Sulfolobales; Sulfolobaceae
Description: Stygiolobus sp. KN-1 tRNA-Leu
Rfam family: tRNA
About the family: Transfer RNA (tRNA) molecules are approximately 80 nucleotides in length. Their secondary structure includes four short double-helical elements and three loops (D, anti-codon, and T loops). Further hydrogen bonds mediate the characteristic L-shaped molecular structure. tRNAs have two regions of fundamental functional importance: the anti-codon, which is responsible for specific mRNA codon recognition, and the 3' end, to which the tRNAs corresponding amino acid is attached (by aminoacyl-tRNA synthetases). tRNAs cope with the degeneracy of the genetic code in two manners: having more than one tRNA (with a specific anti-codon) for a particular amino acid; and 'wobble' base-pairing, i.e. permitting non-standard base-pairing at the 3rd anti-codon position.
Source: RNAcentral